This 593-nucleotide unclassified non-coding RNA is filed under the name Hevea brasiliensis (rubber tree). Lineage: Eukaryota; Viridiplantae; Streptophyta; Magnoliopsida; Malpighiales; Euphorbiaceae. The record is from RNAcentral.
GAAAAAAAAAAGUAAAUGCAAAGGACAAUUACAGUCAGGCUGGCAUUCAAUAGUUGAAGGUUGCUGUAAAUUUGACAAUGAAUGCAUUACAUGAAGAAAAGUCUACAAUAUGAUGUACAUUAGAAACAACUAGUUGCAUCCAAUUAGAAGGGCCCCAAUAUGCCAUCAAAGUACCCCUCUCCUUGGACAGCAAGAGCAAAGUAUAUUGAGGUGUGAUUAUAAAGCCUCCUAGUAAUCUAGCAUACAGGUAACAGUUAUCACUUAUCAGUGUAUCUUAAAAGUAUCUGCAAUCAAGUUAAUUUGAUUGUAUUAGUAAUUAAAACUCCAUGAGAUAUAUCUUAGUGGAUGCAAAAGAUGAAAAAAUAUGAACACUAACUUAGCCUUCACCUUGGACUCCCAAUUAUCUCUCUUUCUAAAUCAAAUCUCAAUUACAUGGUCCUAAUUCUUUAUAAAUUAACAAACUCAAGGAUAAAUAUUGGCAACAGAGAUGGCAACCAAAAUGCAAAUCUGACCCAACUCAUUUGCAGAUUAUUAAAUCUUAAGGAGACAGAUGACUAUUGAUAGUACAUGCUAGUAUGUGACUACAUAUGAAC